CCUACGGGUGGCAGCAGUCGAGAAUCAUUCACAAUGGGGGAAACCCUGAUGGUGCGACGCCGCGUGGGGGAAUGAAGGUCUUCGGAUUGUAAACCCCUGUCAUGUGGGAGCAAAUUAAAAAGAUAGUACCACAAGAGGAAGAGACGGCUAACUCUGUGCCAGCAGCCGCGGUAAUACAGAGGUCUCAAGCGUUGUUCGGAAUCACUGGGCGUAAAGCGUGCGUAGGCUGUUUCGUAAGUCGGGUGUGAAAGGCGCGGGCUCAACCCGCGGACGGCAGAUGAUACUGCGAGACUAGAGUAAGGGAGGGGGAACCGGAAUUCUCGGUGUAGCAGUGAAAUGCGUAGAUAUCGAGAGGAACACUCGUGGCGAAGGCGGGUUCCUGGACAUUAACUGACGCUGAGGCACGAAGGCCAGGGGAGCGAAAGGGAUUAGAUACCCCUGUAGUC
This 446-nucleotide ribosomal RNA is filed under the name uncultured bacterium. Its description in RNAcentral is "partial 16S ribosomal RNA". It matches the Rfam family "Bacterial small subunit ribosomal RNA", at positions 338 to 795 of the family's 1533-position model. The record is from RNAcentral.